Gadus morhua (Atlantic cod) is the source of this 1271-nucleotide long non-coding RNA. The record is from Ensembl. Lineage: Eukaryota; Metazoa; Chordata; Actinopteri; Gadiformes; Gadidae.
UGAAUUAUUUGAUCCCACUAAAUGUGCCGAAAACUGUCUGUCAGCUGGAAAAAGGUCACGUCGACCCAACUACAAGUCAUGGCCAAGUGAUUCCGAGUCCGACAUGAUUUUUGUGUAGCCUAAAUGUGAUAUUUUCUAUUUAUCUUUUUAGUAAAUCGGUGCUGUUUUGUGUAGCCUAAAUGUAAUCUUGUCUAUUUGUAUUAAUUUAGUGGCCAUUCUCAACCUGCAGCGCAAUGAGACAAUGGUGGCCAAAGUCUAUGACCUUCUCCAUCUUGUGUGGAAGACAUACCAACAGAGCCCUAAAUCCAGGCGUGAGCUGAACCUGAUUGGAGAAGAGCUAGGUGUGAGGGUCUGCUCUCCUUCGAGCGUGAAAGGGACGCGUGGAUUCCCCAUGUACACCGGGCACUGAGUGUGUUCCUUCGUGCAGCAAAAGAAGGGAGUCUGUCAACUGACAGUGGUCAGUAUUCGGCUGUUUUGCGCCACAUGGACCACCUUGCCUCCUCAGCAGCCAGUGCUGAAAUUCAAGGGCGUGCAAAGAAGGGUGUACCACUCUCAGGAGAUGUCACAGGAAUGCAGCAGAGGCUACAGAGAAACAUCACCUCUGUCAUCACCACCACUGUGGAAGCCAUUAACACCAGAUUCGGCAGUCUCAUCAAUGAGGACUCAAGACUACUCUGCAGUGAAUUGCAUGAAAAUCUUUCAUCACGACACCUGGCCUGAGAAUACCAAUGAACUGGUUGAUUAUGGAAACGAUCAGUUGGAGGCCCUAAUGGAGCAUUUUCGUCAUGUCCUUACAAGCUCUGGAUGUCAGAUGGAUGCUUUGCCAGGGGAAUGGCAGAGUUUGAAGACCCUUUUAAAUUACUCUUACAGAACAUCCUACACCUUGUGGACAUACUGUUGGUCCUCCCAAUUUCUUCUGCACAGUGUGAGCGGGGCUUCUCUGCGCAGAAACGCCUCAAAAGCUCUUUGAGGAGCUGCUUGCAUGUCUCCACCACAGAGGAUCUUAUCAGGAUCACUACAGAGGGCCCCUCACUUGAAUUAUUUGAUCCCACUAAAUGUGCCGAAAACUGUCUGUCAGCUGGAAAAAGGUCACGUCGACCCAACUACAAGUCAUGGCCAAGUGAUUCCGAGUCCGACAUGAUUUUUGUGUAGCCUAAAUGUGAUAUUUUCUAUUUAUCUUUUUAGUAAAUCGGUGCUGUUUUGUGUAGCCUAAAUGUAAUCUUGUCUAUUUGUAUUAAUUUAGUUUUAGUAAGUUGGUGCUGUUGGUGCGG